GCUUCCCAGGCUCCUCCCUCCGUUACUCCUGUCUUCCUGUGUGAGUGUAGAGACGCGUAGAGACGCCUCGGGAGCGGCUGCGUUCGGGGAAACUUGCAGGCUUCGGUAUCAACAGGACUUGCAGCUGCUGACAAAGGUGUGCGAUCAGGCUCUCCAGAAGAGGGUUCUUGAUGCAAACUGAACUUUUCUGGAAUUCUUGCAUCAUUUUUACAUGCACAGCAGACUUUUGGUGAGUCAUUUCUUAGCUAUCUAAUAUUCCUAAGGCAUUCUGAGUUCUUCCGUUUUUGAUUUUGUCCUCUAACAACAGUAUAGGUGGCAAAGAAUGUCCAGAGAUACAAGGCCUGUCCACAGGAAUCUUGAUGAUUUUGACUUUUUGUCUCAUCUUCCUUUUCAAGGUGAAUAUGUACUGGGCCAGCACCACCUCUGCCACCAGGAUGCACACACUGGUGCUAGCUUCUGUGACCACUUUUGCCAUGUCCAUCUGGUCCACAAAUGCAGCUCUCAUGCUCUUUCCGGCAAAGAUAACACUCACAAGUUUUGCACGUGUGGAGCUUGUGCCUUAACCAUGGGGAAAACCAUAGAAACUGUGCAGGCCUGACUUCAUUGCACUUCACAGAUACUGCUUUUUUUUUUUUUUUUUUUUUUUUUUUUUUUUUUUUUUUUUUUUUUUACAAAUUGAAGGUUUGUGGCAACCCUUUGUCAGGCAAGUCUAUAGGUGCCAUUUUUCCAACAGCAUGUGCUCAAUUCACAUCUUUGCGCCACAUUUUGGUAAUUCUUCAAAUAUUUCAAACUUUCAUAUUAUUGUUAUAUCUAUUAUGGUGAUCUGUGAUCAGGGAUCUUACAUAUUACCAUUGAAAUUGUUUUAGAGCACCACAAACUGCACCCAUAGAAGAUUGAGAACUUAAUUGAUAAAUGCUGUGUAUAUUCUGACUGCUUCACUUAUUGGUGGUUUCCCCAUCUCUCCUCCUCUCUUUAGGCCUCUUAUUUUUUUAUCUGAGAUACAACAAUAUUGAAAUUAGGCCAAUUAAUAAUCCUAAAACAGCCUCUGAGAGUUCAAAGGAAAGGAAGAGAAGCAUAUUUCUCACUUUAAAUCAAAUGCUAGAAAUAAUUAAGUUUACUGAGGAAGGUAUGUCAAAAGCUGAGAUAGGCUCAAAGCUAAACCUUUUGGGUCAAAUGAUUAGCCAAGUUGUGACUGCAAAGGAAAAGUUCUUGAAGGCAACUAAAAGUGCCACCUCAGUGAACAUAUGGAUGGUAACACUGCUGAUAUGGAGAAAAUUUGAGAACAUGUGGUGUUUAGUUAUUUUGUUCCUGCAUUAGUUUGCUGAAGGUA
Long non-coding RNA from Sapajus apella (tufted capuchin), 1330 nucleotides. RefSeq lists it as uncharacterized. The transcript has 3 exons. The record is from RefSeq and is a predicted model, not a curated record. NCBI's taxonomy places the organism in Eukaryota, Metazoa, Chordata, Mammalia, Primates, Cebidae.